This 31-nucleotide non-coding RNA is filed under the name Homo sapiens (human). Lineage: Eukaryota; Metazoa; Chordata; Mammalia; Primates; Hominidae. The record is from RNAcentral.
CUGUAGGCUGAGACCUCUCGGUGCACCUGGU